GCGAAUCUCAAAAAGAAUAGUCUCAGUUCAGAUUGUGGGCUGAAACCCGCCCACAUGAAGUCGGAGUUGCUAGUAAUCCCGAAUCAGCAUGUCGGGGUGAAUGCGUUCCCGGGUCUUGUACACACCGCCCGUCACGCCAUGGGAGUUGGGAGUACCCAAAGUCGGCGACCUAACCGCAAGGAAGGAACCGCCUAAGGUAAUACCAAUGACUGGGGCGAAGUCGUAACAAGGUACC
This 235-nucleotide ribosomal RNA is filed under the name uncultured bacterium. RNAcentral describes it as "partial 16S ribosomal RNA". It matches the Rfam family "Bacterial small subunit ribosomal RNA", at positions 1267 to 1500 of the family's 1533-position model. The record is from RNAcentral.